CCCCGUGCGAGUGGGGUUAGCUGCGAUCGAUCGGACACGGGCGACGCGUGCUGACACUUCGGUGCGAUUGACCGCGCGCAAGAGCGGCUUCCCCCAGCGCGGGAUCGCAUACCAGGCACCAUGUCAUCGCGUGUGUGGCUCCCUGUCGUAGCCAAAUGACAAUAACUAGGCUUAAGUGUCGGGAGCGCUCAUGAGACAAUCGUGCCAUCGUCUGCUAGAACACCAACAGGCGGGGGUGGACGAACCACCUCUUUACUCACCCAUCGAUCAAA
Molecule: long non-coding RNA, 272 nt
Organism: Manduca sexta (tobacco hornworm)
Lineage: Eukaryota; Metazoa; Arthropoda; Insecta; Lepidoptera; Sphingidae
Exons: 3
Source: RefSeq, a predicted model, not a curated record